GGGUGCUAUGCUUAAGGUC
Molecule: non-coding RNA, 19 nt
Filed under: Arabidopsis thaliana (thale cress)
Lineage: Eukaryota; Viridiplantae; Streptophyta; Magnoliopsida; Brassicales; Brassicaceae
Source: RNAcentral